GAACGCUGGCGGCGUGCUUAACACAUGUAAGUCAGGGAGAAAGGGAUAGCAAUAUCCCAAGUACACCGGCGAACGGGUGAGUAACACGUAGGCAACUUACCUUGUGGACGGGGAUAACCUCGGGAAACCGAAGCUAAUACUCGAUAAUGCAGCGGCACUGCAUGAUGAUGUUGUUAAAAGCCCCGAUGCAAGUCGGGGUGCCACAAGAUAGGCCUGCGUCCCAUUAGCUCGUUGGCGGGGUAACGGCCCACCAAGGCUACGAUGGGUAGCUGGUCUGAGAGGAUGGUCAGCCACACUGGAACUGAGACACGGUCCAGACUUCUACGGAAGGCAGCAGUGAGGAAUAUUGCUCAAUGGGCGAAAGCCUGAAGCAGCGACGCCGCGUGAGGGACGAAAUCCGUUAGGAUGUAAACCUCUUUUCCAAGGGAAGAAUGUCCCGCCUAUGGGCGGGAUUGACGGUACCUUGGGAAUAAGCACCGGCCAACUACGUGCCAGCAGCCGCGGUAAUACGUAGGGUGCGAGCGUUGUCCGGAAUUACUGGGUGUAAAGGGUCCGCAGGCGGACAGGUAAGUCGGUGGUGAAAGUUCGCAGCUUAACUGCGAAAUUGCCCUCGAUACUGCUUGUCUUGAGUGUGGGAGAGGAUGAUGGAAUUCAUGGUGUAGCAGUGAAAUGCGUAGAUAUCAUGAAGAACACCAGUUGCGAAGGCGAUCAUCUGGUCCACAACUGACGCUCAGGGACGAAAGCGUGGGGAGCAAACAGGAUUAGAUACCCUGGUAGUCCACGCCCUAAACUAUGGAUACUCGGUGUCGGUCCGCAAGGAUCGGUGCCUAAGCUAACGCAUUAAGUAUCUCACCUGGGGAGUACGAUCGCAAGGUUGAAACUCAAAGGAAUUGACGGGGGCCCGCACAAGCAGUGGAGCAUGUGGUUCAAUUCGAUGCAACGCGAAGAACCUUACCUGGGUUUGAAAAGCUCUGUAAACCGGUGAAAGCCGGCUAGUGUAGCAAUACACACGGAGUACAGGUGCUGCAUGGCUGUCGCCAGCUCGUGCCGUGAGGUGUUAGGUUAAGUCCUGCAACGAGCGCAACCCCUACACUUAGUUGCCAUCAGGUCAAGCUGGGCACUCUAAGUGGACUGCCUACGCAAGUAGUGAGGAAGGUGGGGAUGACGUCAAGUCCUCAUGGCCCUUACACCCAGGGCCACACACGUGCUACAAUGGUCGCUACAAAGGGUUGCUAAGCCGCAAGGCGGAGCCAAUCCCAAAAAAGCGGCCUCAGUUCGGAUUGGGGUCUGCAACUCGACCCCAUGAAGCUGGAAUUGCUAGUAAUCGCGCAUCAGCACGGCGCGGUGAAUACGUUCCCGG
Molecule: ribosomal RNA, 1360 nt
Filed under: uncultured bacterium
Lineage: Bacteria
Description: bacterial SSU rRNA
Rfam family: Bacterial small subunit ribosomal RNA
Source: RNAcentral